UGAAGCGGCAACAGCUCAAAUUUGAAAUCUGGCUCUUUCAGAGUCCGAGUUGUAAUUUGCAGAGGGCGCUUUGGCUUUGGCAGCGGUCCAAGUUCCUUGGAACAGGACGUCACAGAGGGUGAGAAUCCCGUACGUGGUCGCUAGCUAUUGCCGUGUAAAGCCCCUUCGACGAGUCGAGUUGUUUGGGAAUGCAGCUCUAAAUGGGAGGUAAAUUUCUUCUAAAGCUAAAUAUUGGCCAGAGACCGAUAGCGCACAAGUAGAGUGAUCGAAAGAUGAAAAGCACUUUGGAAAGAGAGUCAAACAGCACGUGAAAUUGUUGAAAGGGAAGCGCUUGCAGCCAGACUUGCUUGCAGUUGCUCAUCCGGGCUUUUGCCCGGUGCACUCUUCUGCAGGCAGGCCAGCAUCAGUUUGGGCGGUGGGAUAAAGGUCUCUGACACGUUCCUUCCUUCGGGUUGGCCAUAUAGGGGAGACGUCAUACCACCAGCCUGGACUGAGGUCCGCGCAUCUGCUAGGAUGCUGGCGUAAUGGCUGUAAGCGGCCCGUCUUGAAACACGGACCAAGGAGUCUAACAUCUAUGCGAGUGUUUGGGUGUCAAGCCCGAGCGCGUAAUGAAAGUGAACGGAGGUGGGAACCCGCAAGGGCGCACCAUCGACCGAUCCUGAAGUUUACGGAAGGAUUUGAGUAAGAGCAUGGCUGUUGGGACCCGAAAGAUGGUGAACUAUGCUUGAAUAGGGUGAAGCCAGAGGAAACUCUGGUGGAGGCUCGCAGCGGUUCUGACGUGCAAAUCGAUCGUCAAAUUUGGGCAUAGGGGCGAAAGACUAAUCGAACUAUCUAGUAGCUGGUUCCUGCCGAAGUUUCCCUCAGGAUAGCAGUAACGUAUUCAGUUUUAUGAGGUAAAGCGAAUGAUUAGAGGCAUGGGGGUUGAAACAACCUUCACCUAUUCUCAAACUUUAAAUAUGUAAGAAGCCCUUUGUUACUUAAUUGAACGCGGGCAUUUGAAUGAAACGUUAUUAGUGGGCCAUUUUUGGUAAGCAGAACUGGCGAUGCGGGAUGAACCGAACGAGGGGUUACGGUGCCGGAGUACACGCUCAUCAGACACCACAAAAGGUGUUGGUUCAUCUAGACAGCAGGACGGUGGCCAUGGAAGUCGGAAUCCGCUAAGGAGUGUGUAACAACUCACCUGCCGAAUGAACUAGCCCUGAAAAUGGAUGGCGCUCAAGCGUGUCACCUAUACCCCUCCGCCGGGGCAAAAUUUACGCCCCGGCGAGUAGGCAGGCGUGGAGGCUCGUGACG
RNAcentral lists this ribosomal RNA (1293 nucleotides) under Curvularia lunata. Its description in RNAcentral is "partial large subunit ribosomal RNA". It matches the Rfam family "Eukaryotic large subunit ribosomal RNA", at positions 94 to 1405 of the family's 3401-position model. Lineage: Eukaryota; Fungi; Ascomycota; Dothideomycetes; Pleosporales; Pleosporaceae. The record is from RNAcentral.